AACAGUUGGCAACUUACUCUUCAAAUUUCAAAGCUAUUCUAUAAACGAAAAAGACUUCCAAAGUUAAAAGGAGGCCAGCAACUUUUCCAUAACGCAGAGCUGUAGAAAGGAAACAAAGAGUAGAACCGUUGUACAUUGGGUUAUCGUUGACAUUAAAUGGGAAACCAGAAACACGCUCUGGAAGCAGAAAUCCAAAGUAAUCACCAAGAUAUGUACCAACAAGUCCUAGCUUAUACAUACUCGAUAAGACAAGGACGCUGCCAAAACAAAAAAUGAGCUUAGCUAUACCCUGCACAAGAGGGUUCAUGAAGAUACCUAGCGUAGGUUGUUGUUUUAAAGCAUUCUGAUAAAUUAAGUCACGAACUAUUCCGGCA
Non-coding RNA from Schizosaccharomyces pombe (fission yeast), 374 nucleotides. Lineage: Eukaryota; Fungi; Ascomycota; Schizosaccharomycetes; Schizosaccharomycetales; Schizosaccharomycetaceae. The record is from the annotation of a GenBank genome assembly.